Molecule: unclassified non-coding RNA, 433 nt
Filed under: uncultured Russula
Lineage: Eukaryota; Fungi; Basidiomycota; Agaricomycetes; Russulales; Russulaceae
Description: sequence contains ITS2
Rfam family: 5.8S ribosomal RNA (bases 1-154)
Source: RNAcentral
AACUUUCAACAAUGGAUCACUUGGCUCUCGCAUCGAUGAAGAACGCAGCGAAAUGCGAUACGUAAUGUGAAUUGCAGAAUUCAGUGAAACAUCGAAUCUUUUGAAGCACCUUUCGCCCCCUGGGAUUCCGAGGGGCACACCCGGUUUAGGUGCGUGUACAUCCUCAAACGUUUCUUGGUUCCUCAUCCGGGGAAGGCUUGGACUUUGGGGGUCUUUCAUUGCUGGUCUCUUUGCAGCCAGCUCCUCCUAUAUGGAUUAGUGGGGUCUGUUUUGCCGAUGCUUGACGUGAUAAGAUGUUUCACCGUCUUGGGUUUCGGACUGUCGCUUUAGACCCCGCUUCUAACCGGCUUGCAUUCAAGACAGAGUUUUAAACCUUGACCUCAAAUCGGGUGAGACUACCCGCUGAACUUAAGCAUAUCAAUAAGCGGAGGCU